GGAGUUUGGGCCGUGUCUCAGUCCCAAUGUGGCUGUCCGACCUCUCAGUCCGGCUACAGAUCGUCGCCUUGGUAAGCCGUUACCUUACCAACUAGCUAAUCUGACGCGGGCCCAUCUCAUACCACCGGAGUUUUUCACACAGGGUCAUGCGACUCCGUGCGCUUAUGCGGUAUUAUCAGUCGUUUCCAACUGCUAUCCCCCAGUAUGAGGCAGGUUGCCCACGCGUUACUCACCCGUCCGCCACUAAGAUUUAACAAGAAUCCGCCGAAGCCUCAUCAGCGUUAAAUCUCCGUUCGACUUGCAUGUGUUAGGCACGCCGCCAGCGUUCAUC
RNAcentral lists this ribosomal RNA (331 nucleotides) under uncultured Butyrivibrio sp. RNAcentral's name for it is "partial 16S ribosomal RNA". The record is from RNAcentral. Lineage: Bacteria; Bacillati; Bacillota; Clostridia; Lachnospirales; Lachnospiraceae.